GAUGAACGCUAGCGGCAGGCCUAACACAUGCAAGUCGAACGGUAAGGUCUCUUCGGAGAUACACGAGUGGCGCACGGGUGAGUAACGCGUAUGCAACCUACCCUUAACUGGGGGAUAGCCCGGAGAAAUUCGGAUUAAUACCCCAUAACAUCCCGACAACACCUGUUGACGGGAUAAAAACUCCGGUGGUUAAGGAUGGGCAUGCGUGACAUUAGUUAGUUGGUAAGGUAACGGCUUACCAAGGCUACGAUGUCUAGGGGGCCUGAGAGGGUGAUCCCCCACACUGGUACUGAGACACGGACCAGACUCCUACGGGAGGCAGCAGUGAGGAAUAUUGCGCAAUGGACGAAAGUCUGACGCAGCCAUGCCGCGUGCAGGAUGACUGCCCUAUGGGUUGUAAACUGCUUUUUUAUAGGAAGAAUACCCCCUACGUGUAGGGGAUUGACGGUACUAUAUGAAUAAGCAUCGGCUAACUCCGUGCCAGCAGCCGCGGUAAUACGGAGGAUGCAAGCGUUAUCCGGAUUUAUUGGGUUUAAAGGGUGCGUAGGCGGGAGAAUAAGUCAGUGGUGAAAUUUUGCAGCUUAACUGUAACAUUGCCAUUGAUACUGUUUUUCUUGAGUGCGAUUGAGGUAGGCGGAAUGUGUAAUGUAGCGGUGAAAUGCUUAGAUAUUACACAGAACACCGAUUGCGUAGGCAGCUUACUAAGUCGUAACUGACGCUGAGGCACGAAAGCGUGGGGAUCGAACAGGAUUAGAUACCCUGGUAGUCCACGCUGUAAACGAUGAUCACUAGCUGUUGGCGAUAGACCGAUCAGCGGCAAAGCGAAAGCAUUAAGUGAUCCACCUGGGGAGUACGUUCGCAAGAAUG
RNAcentral lists this ribosomal RNA (867 nucleotides) under uncultured bacterium. RNAcentral describes it as "bacterial SSU rRNA". It matches the Rfam family "Bacterial small subunit ribosomal RNA", at positions 28 to 896 of the family's 1533-position model. The record is from RNAcentral.